UGCAGAAGUCUUAGCAGAGUCCACGAGAGCACCAGCAGUAAGAAAUACCAAUCUGUUGACUCAAAUGUAAUAUAGCACAUGCUGCACUCCAGAGGGGUUGUGUUUCUGACCUAUUUACUAUGGUAUGGAAUUCUGUAGUGACUGCAAAUCAAAUGGGCAAUACACAGAGGCAACAGUUCCUGGAGGUCAGAAAGCUGAGGUGGCACAUGGGAGACAAGAAGGGAAUGUGAAAAAGAAGAGAAUGGUGAAAUCAUGUGGGUUACCUGGAUAUGUCCUUCAUAUACUUUUCAACAUGCAAGAAAACUCAAGUUCCGACCUACAAAGAAAAGUUUUG
RNAcentral lists this long non-coding RNA (334 nucleotides) under Numida meleagris (helmeted guineafowl). Its description in RNAcentral is "lncRNA (ENSNMEG00000007665.1)". Lineage: Eukaryota; Metazoa; Chordata; Aves; Galliformes; Numididae. The record is from RNAcentral.